GUCGGUACAGAGGGUAGCCAACCCGCGAGGGGGAGCCAAUCCCAGAAAGCCGAUAGUAGUCCGGAUUGCAGUCUGCAACUCGACUGCAUGAAGUCGGAAUCGCUAGUAAUCGCGGAUCAGCAUGUCGCGGUGAAUACAUUCCCGGGCCUUGUACACACCGCCCGUCACACCAUGGGAGUGGGUUCCACCAGAAGUAGGUAGUCUAACCGCAAGGGGGACGCUUACCAGGGUGGGGUUCAUGACUGGGGUGAAGUCGUAACAAGGUAACCGUAA
Molecule: ribosomal RNA, 273 nt
Filed under: uncultured bacterium
Lineage: Bacteria
Description: partial 16S ribosomal RNA
Rfam family: Bacterial small subunit ribosomal RNA
Source: RNAcentral